Molecule: long non-coding RNA, 798 nt
Filed under: Carassius auratus (goldfish)
Lineage: Eukaryota; Metazoa; Chordata; Actinopteri; Cypriniformes; Cyprinidae
Description: lncRNA (ENSCARG00000040301.1)
Source: RNAcentral
AUUGUGUUGAUUACAUUGUAAUGCCAGUGGGUGGCGACAAGUGAUUGUUAAAAAUGUGUUUGUCAUUGAAGCAUUCAUUCAUUUGUUUAUCUAUCCAGACUCGUUCAGCUGUGUGUGUGUGUGUGUGUGUGUGUGUGGUGUGUGUGUGUGUGCACAGGUGGCUCACCGCGCUGCUAUAACACCUCCGAUCCUCAGCUGAACUCCACAGAUUGGCUUGUGAGCUACAUUGGCAUCUUCAUCAGAUUCGUCAACCUGUCUGACCUCAACUCCUUCGUGUCGUCUGACCAGAUUGGUGUGUUCUUGGAGAACCCGGAGAACCUUCAGCUGCUCAAUGGCACCGUAACCAUCCAGUCCAGCGUAGCUAUCUACUAUGUGACACAGCUGUACAAUCAGAACCCGUCCUUCAACCCCGUCAGGCUGCCAGGUCAGUUCCUGUGUGCAGUCCCUUCAUUUGCAUUAGAGCUUUUAGGAGGCGCAGACAGUUUGGUGCUCAUCCAGCGGAUCAACGUGUUCUGUAAUGGAACCGAGAGCCCUGAGAUCACCUCUGCUCUCGCAGCCAAUCUCCCUUCGCUUUCCUCCUCCACCAUCCAGCUGCUCGGCAGUCAGAGCGUGGGCCUGACGGAGGCUCAGAUAAGCUCCGCCUCCUCUGAUGUCAUCAAGGGCGCGCUCUCGACCCUCAGCGCCGUCGACGGCUGGAAUCAGGGCCAAGCUAACGCCGUCAUACAGACUCUCAUCAAGUCUGACUUUCCAGUGAGUCUAAAUAACUCUUCCAGCUGCAUUUCUGAGAGUUGGAGCUGA